Molecule: ribosomal RNA, 253 nt
Filed under: uncultured bacterium
Lineage: Bacteria
Description: partial 16S ribosomal RNA
Rfam family: Bacterial small subunit ribosomal RNA
Source: RNAcentral
UACAGAGGUCUCGAGCGUUUGUUCGGAUUCAUUGGGCGUAAAGGGCGCGUAGGCUGCGGGGCAAGUCGGGUGUGAAAUCUCAGAGCUCAACUCUGAAACUGCACUCGAUACUGCUUUGCUUGAGGAUUGGAGAGGAGAUUGGAAUUCACGGUGUAGCAGUGAAAUGCGUAGAUAUCAGGAGGAACACCGGUGGUGUAGACGGCUUCUGGACCAUAACUGACGCUGAGACACGAAAGCGUGGGUAGCAAACAGG